RNAcentral lists this ribosomal RNA (229 nucleotides) under uncultured bacterium. RNAcentral describes it as "partial 16S ribosomal RNA". It matches the Rfam family "Bacterial small subunit ribosomal RNA", at positions 568 to 796 of the family's 1533-position model. The record is from RNAcentral.
CGUGUAGGCGGUACGGUAAGUCAGAUGUGAAAGCCCUCGGCUCAACCGAGGAAGUGCAUUUGAAACUGCCGAACUAGAGUACGGGAGAGGGUUGUAGAAUUCCCGGUGUAGAGGUGAAAUUCGUAGAUAUCGGGAGGAAUACCGGUGGUGAAGGCGGCAACCUGGACCGAUACUGACGCUGAGACGCGAAAGCGUGGGGAGCAAACAGGAUUAGAUACCCUGGUAGUCC